This is a small nucleolar RNA of Cucurbita maxima (winter squash), 105 nucleotides long. RefSeq annotates it as small nucleolar RNA snoR100. Lineage: Eukaryota; Viridiplantae; Streptophyta; Magnoliopsida; Cucurbitales; Cucurbitaceae. The record is from RefSeq and is a predicted model, not a curated record. The transcript has a single exon.
GAAUGAAGGAAGCAUGGUAGUGUGCACAGAAAUCGAAUUCAUAGGUCGACAUGUCUGCUCCCUCUGAUGCUUUCUGAUUUGGGGGCCUGGUUUAGACCUACAUCU